RNAcentral lists this ribosomal RNA (439 nucleotides) under uncultured Leptolinea sp. RNAcentral's name for it is "bacterial SSU rRNA". It matches the Rfam family "Bacterial small subunit ribosomal RNA", at positions 930 to 1382 of the family's 1533-position model. The record is from RNAcentral. Lineage: Bacteria; Bacillati; Chloroflexota; Anaerolineae; Anaerolineales; Anaerolineaceae.
CAGCGGAGCGUGUGGUUUAAUUCGAUGUUACACGAAGAACCUUACCAGGGUUUGACAUGCAAGUGGUAGGAAGCCGAAAGGUGACCGACCCUUCGGGGAGCUUGCACAGGUGCUGCAUGGCUGUCGUCAGCUCGUGUCGUGAGAUGUUCGGUUAAGUCCGCUAACGAGCGCAACCCUCGCUGUGUGUUAUAUGUGUCACACGGGACUGCCGGUCUUAAGCCGGAGGAAGGUGGGGAUGAUGUCAAGUCAGCAUGGCCUUUAUAUCCUGGGCUACACACACGCUACAAUGGCAGAUACAAUAGGUCGCGAAACCGCGAGGUGGAGCCAAUCCUCAAAGUCUGCCUCAGUUCAGAUUGUAGGCUGCAACUCGCCUGCAUGAAGUCGGGGUUGCUAGUAAACGCAGGUCAGCUAUACUGCGUUGAAUACGUUCCCGGGGUUU